RNAcentral lists this long non-coding RNA (1318 nucleotides) under Anas platyrhynchos (mallard). RNAcentral describes it as "lncRNA (ENSAPLG00020018252.1)". Lineage: Eukaryota; Metazoa; Chordata; Aves; Anseriformes; Anatidae. The record is from RNAcentral.
CGAAACUCAGGCAGCAAAUCCUCACCUGGAAGCAAUGAUGCUAACUUAAACAAUGCUUUUAAAUGAACCUUGGAUCUGGUCAGCAACAUUGAUUUGGUUUUGACUGAUCAAAAAAACCUUUGACUGACUCAAAAAACCUUCCAUCUUCUCGGUAUUUUCCACUUUCACUGUCUACACUGUCCUGCCCUGCAUAAAUCUUAUUUAAAAGCUAAUUUCAACACAGCAUGUGCACUUAGUGUACACUGAUCAGUGAUGAGUCAUGUUCAGCUUGAUAAGGAAAUGAAUGAAAGCCCUUACAAUUUAAAAAGACUCAGUGUUCCCAUGGCUAGACCACACAGGAAAGCUGUGUUGGAAAGCUCUAAUUUCCAAUUUCCAAGUCCCUCUAUUGUUUCUGUCAGGUGGACCUGUUUUCCUUGCAAAACGUCAAGCAAUUUUCCUAUAUUUCAGCAAUAUGCUCUGCAGACACUGGAGUUUUUCAGUUCCCUAUUCAGGUCAAAGAGAUUUCAUAAGGUCUGUAGCUAGUGUACACAAGUCUGAAAAGGAAUAAUCAGUUAUCUCAGCAUCUCAGGAAUAGGCAAGGCUCUGUCAAGACUCUUCCUCUGUGUUACAAGUACCCAUGUGCUCUUGUAAGACCUUGUGCCAGAGUACGCUGUAACUUGCAAGAAGACAUUAAACUGGAAAAUAAAAUGUCGUCCCACUUCCAGUGCUGAAGAAGCAGCUUUCAGAUUCCAAGCUGCAGAUGGUGGUCCUGUGCAACUGGUGACAACGAAUACCAGCAGACUUCUGAAUCAGUCUUUCAGGCUGGCCAUAUGAGAUCCUGUGGGCAUCCACCAUGACUGCAGUCAAGAACACUACGCAAGUCAAGAACAAAGAGCUGGAAAUAGCAGCCCUCCGUAUCCGCAGCACGGAGGAAGGGGCGCUGUGCCCGGGCACAGCGCAGCCGUGGCACCCGUGGGUUCGGUCCCUCGCUGCUUGCGCUGCCAGCAGAGCCUCGGAUCCCCCUCAGCCUGUCUGGGCUCGGUGCGUAUUGGAAUUUCAUCUCCCCAGUCUGCUCCUGCAGACUUUUUUUUUUUUUAAUUCAUGUGGAAAAAAAAUAAUAAUGAGAGGGUAAAAUAAGCGGAGCGAGAGCGAGCAUCAAUAGCCCCAGCCCGUAGGCUCAGCGCCUUCCUGCAGAGCUCCCGCAGCAGGGCCCCGCUCAGCCCCGGCGCUGCCGCAGGGCCCCGGGCAGGGGCAGCACCCAGGGGUGCUGGGCGGGGGCUGAGCCCCGCUCCCUGCCCCGAGCCUUAGGGCCACGGCCGGGGGCGCUGGCACAGCCCCG